This 1233-nucleotide long non-coding RNA is filed under the name Spirodela polyrhiza (greater duckweed). Its description in RNAcentral is "long non-coding RNA (SPOL_LNC002666)". The record is from RNAcentral. Lineage: Eukaryota; Viridiplantae; Streptophyta; Magnoliopsida; Alismatales; Araceae.
UCCAUCCCAGUCUUCAUCCUGCAGCUCAUGAUCGUCUUCCUCGGGCCCAGGCUUUUUAACGGGGAGGGGAACCACCACGUCAAGCUGGCGAGCUAUUUCUGGAGUUCCUGGUGCUCGACAGGGGACGGCGGAGCCGCCUGCACCUACCCUCUCUUCAGCACUCUGCUGCUCGGGCUCCUCGACCUGUCACUGCUCGGCUACGCCUCCUAUGCCGGUGCUCGAAUUGUGUCACUGGCGAUCAACAGGAAGCUCCGGCGGCGGGUCUGCAUUCUGAUCCUCUCGGUUGACUUUCUAAUCCUGCUGCGGAUCGUCUUCCUCGGCCUGUCGAUCCUGCCGGUGCCCGGCGGCCCGCCCUUCGAGGCUCUCGUGUUCUUGGCCUUCCUGAUGCAGCUGCUCUGUGCCGCGGCGGGCGUGUCCGUGCUGGUCUUCUACCCGGUGGCGGACUCCCUGGCGCUGAGAGGGGCCCUGCAUUUUGACAUUGGAGAGGCGCCCUUCGACGACUAUUACAGCGAUGGCGCCUCUCUCAUCCCCAAUAACCAGAGCCUCCGGCUGGACCCUGGAAGAAGAAGCUCGGACGUCUCCACCAAGCGGGGCUCGAUAUCUUUCAGGACGAUGAUCAGAGUGGAGCUUGCGGCUGGAUGUGAUUCCGACAACCCCAGCGCCCCAUCGCCGCCGUACCCUCCUGCCAGCUAAGUCCUUGGAACCCCCUCCUCUCCUCUGGCUUUCUCCUCCUCCUCUUCUUCCCCCAAUCUUCCCCUCCUCCUCCUCGUCUGAUUUGCAGUGAGGAGGAGGGCCUCUCUUGUAGAAAUUGUUUUUUCUUAAACCGUUUUAAGGCAAAGUUUUCACUGUUCCAGCCCCAGCGAGCUUAUUUUCUUUGCACGAUGCUGCUCUUGAGACUUUUAUGAUCCUAUCUGAGAAUCUGAAACCAGGGUGGGAUGGGGUGUUGAUGAUGGGCGGGAGGAGGGGUAAAGAAAGGGAGAUUUCUGAAGGAACGUUUGGGGGAGAACCACUAGAGAAUUAUAGAGUUGCCGUCGGAGGGUUGACUAUCUCCCGAAUUGGCCCCACUUUCCUGGUGUUUGAUUGGUCGGAAUUCCCAGCCCAUGACGUGUUUGACGCAGAUUGUGAUGGCAGCUCAUGCCUUGCCGUCCUCGACUUCCUCUGCGGUUAAUCUUGACAGCUCAAAGAGGAUCUUUUUGACAGCACAUCUCUCUCUCUCUCUCUCUCUCUCUCUCU